CCUUUGUACACACCGCCCGUCGCUACUACCGAUUGAAUGGUUAUAGUGAGCAUAUGGGAUCAGUAGGAUAAGACUGGUAACAGUUUUUUCUUGCAGAGAACUAUGGCAAACUAGGCUAUUUAGAGG
Molecule: ribosomal RNA, 126 nt
Filed under: Circinella simplex
Lineage: Eukaryota; Fungi; Mucoromycota; Mucoromycetes; Mucorales; Lichtheimiaceae
Description: partial small subunit ribosomal RNA
Rfam family: Eukaryotic small subunit ribosomal RNA
Source: RNAcentral